Long non-coding RNA from Tribolium castaneum (red flour beetle), 1859 nucleotides. RefSeq lists it as uncharacterized. NCBI's taxonomy places the organism in Eukaryota, Metazoa, Arthropoda, Insecta, Coleoptera, Tenebrionidae. The record is from RefSeq and is a predicted model, not a curated record. The transcript is spliced from 3 exons.
AAUAUUAAACAACAACCAAAACUAAAAUCAAAACUCACGAUGCUUUUCAAACUGUUGUAUACAAAUAGUUUAAAUUUCAUAUGCCAAAACCUUACGAAGUAGAAUGUUGUUGCUAGUUAAAGAUAGGGUUAGAGUAGAACGAUUUCUCUGUCGUGACGUGUUAGGCGAUAAAGCAAAAGAAUGUUUCUCUUUUGCGUCCAGAUCAGAAAUUACAGGCUCGUGAGUUGGCCAUCUUCAUGGGAAGAGUCGUAGUCCUCGGGGACGCUCUUCCCCAACUUUAACAAGGUCUAAGACGCGGUGGCAGGUCGUAGUUUCCGCCCGUUGUACUUAGAAUGGACGUUGUAAUUCCCGUCCCAACGGCAAGUACUUCCACGUACUUGCAGGCUACUACGGACGAUCGAGCAGACAUAAUCAUCCGUGAUUAUCUGUAAUAAACUGAUAUCGCGACAUGGCAAAGUUCUGCACAAGUCUUUGUCAAAGCUCGUGGACGGAAAACUUUAGAGAGAAAUUACUUCUACAUUUAUUCAGAUUGAUUUGUAAAAGCUUGUGUGUCCGGGUUUUGUUCGGAAUUUGUCCUAGGUGUUGAUCACCUGACUUUUACCGGAGACGGUACUUCGGCACUAGGGCGUAAAAAAAUUAAAUGCGAUGCACUUAUCAAACAUUCCGCGAGCAUGUUAUAAUCCGACUCUGGUACAAGUAGUUUAGAAACGCGCUGUCAGUUGCCUGGAUCAUAUAAGUUCGAACAAUAUCGUCUGAAACAUAGGUUAAAUUUGCUGAAUAUUACUGAAUUAAAUUAAUUCAGGUUAAUAUCAAAGAGUUACCAAGAAAAACUUUUCGUAUCACUCAACGACUACAAAACUAUUUUAAAUUUAAUACAAAACGAAUUGUGGUUACGAUUCUGAUAUAUUUUGACGACUUUAUAACACAUACACCCAUAAACCAUUGGCCAAAUUUGAUGAAACUUUCAUAACCAUUGAUUAUUGUAAUCCAUACAACGGAAUAUCCUUUCUUCUUGUAAUAAAUAACUUUGGAGGAAACUUGUGGUUUAAAUCCCUUCUCCCAUGCGUUUUGACACUACUUUGAAUCCGGACUUGCGUUACGGAUAAAUCCUGAACCCUUUCUGAUAAGAAUUAAGAUCAAAUUGCGAUAUCACUAUAAGAGUGACUUCGUACAUCAAACCAACACAACGUAGGUAAGUGAAAUAAUCAUGUAGCGGAUCAAUUAACUAGACGAGCCAAAUCAUUUCAAAAAAAAAAACAAAAGUAAAAUUCAAGAUUAAUUAAAUAAAUAAAUUAAAUAAGUUGUAAAUCAUUUAAACAUCGAUCAACCAUCAUCAAUCACGGUCUCACUACAGUAUCAAACAUGCACCUAAUUUUUUUCCACAUGAUUUUUGCACUGCACUUUAAUCCAACCUUUUUUUUUCAAAUAUGACAUUAUAUUCCUUCUUUUACGUUAUCCUACAUCCACCUCUGCCUUUCCUUUAGAUAUCAAAACAAAAUAGAAAAUAAAGAAACCGACGGUGUUUCCCAAAAGGAGAGAAAAGACGCAUGGGAAAAGGUGGCUGAAGAGUUUAAUUCAGCAUCAUCAACAGCACCACGAACAGGAAAGCAGAUGAAAGUGCUUUGGUCCAAUUUACGCCGGACAGCUAAAAAAAAUAUUGCUAAAGAAAAUAAAAAAAGAUACUUAGAUGAGACAAAUGAACUGGGAAAUACAGCAGAGCUUAAACGAAAAAAAAUGAAGAUAAGAAAAACAUUUCGAAAACUGGGGGUGGAACGUUCGAGAGCCAAUUAACUGACGUGGGGGCUAGAGUCUUAGCAAUGGUCGAGCCACAGGCAAGGCCCUUACCAAAUCUAUUUGAC